Molecule: long non-coding RNA, 416 nt
Filed under: Salvia miltiorrhiza (redroot sage)
Lineage: Eukaryota; Viridiplantae; Streptophyta; Magnoliopsida; Lamiales; Lamiaceae
Description: long non-coding RNA (SMIL_LNC007770)
Source: RNAcentral
GUGGCACAAACCGAGGAUCAUGAGCUGCCCCGAGGUGUACUUGAUGACAUCUGUGCUGCAGAAGGCACGAACCAUUAUUCAGCAGCCGAAGCAGAUUCAAGCAAAGCUGAUCAGUCCCCGCAGCUAGAGGCCUCGCUCACACGUUUGCCUAUUGCUGUCGAAGAGAAUCACCAAACUGUGGAAACUCAGGAAACUGAAAAAGGAGGUUUUUCGGAGAAGCAUGGAACAGAGGAGGAAGCAGGUAACGAAACUGGAGAUGCAGCAUCCGAGCCUAACGAGCAUAUGUUUCAACAACCAAUUGCUGACAAGCUCGACCCUUCCGAACAAGGUGCUGUCGACACCAAUCACCCGCCGCGAAAAGAAGGUAUAGAUGCAGGUGAAGGUGAAGGUGAAAUGAGUAGAAAGAUGAUGGAGGA